GCCGGGGUGGCGGAACUGGUAGACGCACUACUUUGAGGUGGUAGCGGGUGCAAACUCGUGCAGGUUCUCCUGUCCUGCAAAGCCGGCU
Molecule: transfer RNA, 88 nt
Filed under: Thermospira aquatica
Lineage: Bacteria; Pseudomonadati; Spirochaetota; Spirochaetia; Brevinematales; Thermospiraceae
Description: Spirochaetales bacterium F1F22 tRNA-Leu
Source: RNAcentral